AGAGUUUGAUCCUGGCUCAGGAUGAACGCUGGCGGCGUGCCUAACACAUGCAAGUCGAGCGGUAUAUAUUGGAAUGAAACUUCGGUCGAGUGAAGAUAUAGAGAGCGGCGGACGGGUGAGUAACGCGUAGGCAACCUGCCCCAUACAGAGGGAUAGCCUCGGGAAACCGGGAUUAAAACCUCAUAAUGCGAGAGGUCCACAUGGACUUUUCGCCAAAGAUUUAUCGGUAUGGGAUGGGCCUGCGUCUGAUUAGCUAGUUGGUGGGGUAACGGCCUACCAAGGCAACGAUCAGUAGCCGACCUGAGAGGGUAAUCGGCCACAUUGGAACUGAGACACGGUCCAAACUCCUACGGGAGGCAGCAGUGGGGAAUAUUGCACAAUGGGCGAAAGCCUGAUGCAGCAACGCCGCGUGAGCGAUGAAGGCCUUUGGGUCGUAAAGCUCUGUCCUUGGGGAAGAAAAAAAUGACGGUACCCUUGGAGGAAGCCCCGGCUAACUACGUGCCAGCAGCCGCGGUAAUACGUAGGGGGCAAGCGUUAUCCGGAAUUAUUGGGCGUAAAGAGUGCGUAGGUGGUUUUGUAAGCGCGGGGUGAAAGGCAAUAGCUCAACUAUUGUAAGCCCUGCGAACUGUGAGACUUGAGUGCAGGAGAGGAAAGCGGAAUUCCUAGUGUAGCGGUGAAAUGCGUAGAUAUUAGGAGGAACACCAGUGGCGAAGGCGGCUUUCUGGACUGUAACUGACACUGAGGCACGAAAGCGUGGGGAGCAAACAGGAUUAGAUACCCUGGUAGUCCACGCCGUAAACGAUGAGCACUAGGUGUCGGGGCCG
Molecule: ribosomal RNA, 824 nt
Filed under: uncultured bacterium
Lineage: Bacteria
Description: bacterial SSU rRNA
Rfam family: Bacterial small subunit ribosomal RNA
Source: RNAcentral